This 253-nucleotide ribosomal RNA is filed under the name uncultured bacterium. Its description in RNAcentral is "partial 16S ribosomal RNA". It matches the Rfam family "Bacterial small subunit ribosomal RNA", at positions 524 to 776 of the family's 1533-position model. The record is from RNAcentral.
UACGUAGGGUGCGAGCGUUGUCCGGAAUUAUUGGGCGUAAAGAGCUCGUAGGCGGUUUGUUGCGUCUAUCGUGAAAACCUGCAGCUUAACUGUGGGCUUGCGGUGGAUACGGGCAGACUUGAGUUCGGUAGGGGAGACUGGAAUUCCGGGUGUAGCGGUGGAAUGCGUAGAGAUCCGGAAGAACACCGGAGGCGAAGGCGGCUUGCUGGGCGUGAUCUGACGCUGAGGCGCGAAAGCGUGGGGAGCGAACAGG